This 898-nucleotide ribosomal RNA is filed under the name uncultured archaeon. RNAcentral's name for it is "bacterial SSU rRNA". It matches the Rfam family "Archaeal small subunit ribosomal RNA", at positions 1 to 879 of the family's 1478-position model. The record is from RNAcentral.
UUCCGGUUGAUCCUGCCGGACCCUACUGCUAUCGGGGUGAGACUAAGCAAUGCAAGUCGCGCGCCUCAAGCCAUGGAGAGGCGCGGCAAACGGCUCAGUAACACGUGGCCAACCUACCCUUAGGACGGGGACAACCCCGGGAAACUGGGGCUAAUCCCCGAUAGGUGAGGAGUCCUGGAAUGGUUCUUCGCUCAAAGGGCGUUGGGGACACGCUUCCCAGCGUUGCCUAAGGAUGGGGCCGCGGCCGAUCAGGUUGUUGGUGGGGUAACGGCUCACCAAGCCUUUAACCGGUACGGGCCAUGAGAGUGGGAGCCCGGAGAUGGGCACUGAGACAAGGGCCUAGGUCCUACGGGGUGCAGCAUGCGCGAAACCUCCGCAAUGCGCGAAAGCGUGACGGGGUUAUCCCGAGUGCCGUCCGCUGAGGAUGGCUUUUCUCUGGUGUAGGGAGCUAGAGGAAUAAGGGGAGGGCAAGCCUGGUGUCAGCCGCCGCGGUAAUACCAGCUCCCCGAGUGGUAGGGGCGAUUAUUGAGCUUAAAGCGUCCGUAGCCGGCUUGGCAAGUCUUCCGUUAAAUCCAGCGACUCAAUCGCUGGGCCGCGAAAGAUACUGCCAGGCUAGGGGGCGGGAGAGGCCGACGGUAUUCUCGGGGUAGGGGUGAAAUCCUAUAAUCCCGGGAGGACCACCAGUGGCGAAGGCGGUCGGCUAGAACGCGCUCGACGGUGAGGGACGAAAGCUGGGGGAGCGAACCGGAUUAGAUACCCGGGUAGUCCCAGCUGUAAACGAUGCGGGCUAGUGUCGGGCGGCUACGAGCCACUUCGGUGCCGCAGGGAAGCCGUUAAGCCCGCCGCUUGGGAAGUACGGCCGCAAGGCUGAAACUUAAAGGAAUUGGCGGGGGAGCAC